GUGCUCGCUUUGGCAGCACAUAUACUAAAACUGGAACGAUACAGAGAAGAUAGCAUGGCCCCUGUGCAAGGAAGACAACGCAAAUUCGUAAAGCGUUCCAUAUUUUG
Molecule: small nuclear RNA, 107 nt
Filed under: Moschus moschiferus (Siberian musk deer)
Lineage: Eukaryota; Metazoa; Chordata; Mammalia; Artiodactyla; Moschidae
Source: RNAcentral